Molecule: ribosomal RNA, 442 nt
Filed under: uncultured Undibacterium sp.
Lineage: Bacteria; Pseudomonadati; Pseudomonadota; Betaproteobacteria; Burkholderiales; Oxalobacteraceae
Description: bacterial SSU rRNA
Rfam family: Bacterial small subunit ribosomal RNA
Source: RNAcentral
GACGGGGACCCGCACAAGCGGUGGAUGAUGUGGAUUAAUUCGAUGCAACGCGAAAAACCUUACCUACCCUUGACAUGGCAGGAAUCCUGAAGAGAUUUGGGAGUGCUCGCAAGAGAACCUGCACACAGGUGCUGCAUGGCUGUCGUCAGCUCGUGUCGUGAGAUGUUGGGUUAAGUCCCGCAACGAGCGCAACCCUUGUCAUUAGUUGCUACGAAAGGGCACUCUAAUGAGACUGCCGGUGACAAACCGGAGGAAGGUGGGGAUGACGUCAAGUCCUCAUGGCCCUUAUGGGUAGGGCUUCACACGUCAUACAAUGGUACAUACAGAGGGCUGCCAACCCGCGAGGGGGAGCUAAUCCCAGAAAGUGUAUCGUAGUCCGGAUUGUAGUCUGCAACUCGACUACAUGAAGUUGGAAUCGCUAGUAAUCGCGGAUCAGCAUGUC